RNAcentral lists this ribosomal RNA (254 nucleotides) under uncultured bacterium. RNAcentral's name for it is "partial 16S ribosomal RNA". It matches the Rfam family "Bacterial small subunit ribosomal RNA", at positions 524 to 776 of the family's 1533-position model. The record is from RNAcentral.
UACGUAGGGAGCAAGCGUUUGUCCGGAAUCAUUGGGCGUAAAGCGCGCGUAGGCGGCCCGAUAAGUCCGUUGUGAAAGUCAAAGGCUCAACCUUUGAAUGCCGAUGGAUACUGUCGGGCUAGAGUCCGGAAGAGGCGAGUGGAAUUCCUGGUGUAGCGGUGGAAUGCGCAGAUAUCAGGAGGAACACCAAUAGCGAAGGCAGGUCUCUGGGCAUUAACUGACGCUGAGGAGCGAAAGCAUGGGGAGCGAACAGG